Molecule: long non-coding RNA, 214 nt
Filed under: Elaeis guineensis (African oil palm)
Lineage: Eukaryota; Viridiplantae; Streptophyta; Magnoliopsida; Arecales; Arecaceae
Description: long non-coding RNA (EGUI_LNC078021)
Source: RNAcentral
ACUCAGGCAGGAUCUAGAACAUCUUCUCCUCAUGAAUCUAUGCUCCAAAAAUUAGAUCUAAAUCUGAUUAGAAAGUACUUCAGAACUCCUUCUGAAGUUGGAGCAGCAGCCUGUCGAAGAUGUCCUGCAGCCUUCUGUUCCAAGCAUCACCAUGCCUUAGAUCUCUGCUAGAUGGAUGUCCAACAAUUUGGAUGUGAAAAGGGGAGGAAGGAGA